GAAUCUCACAACAUAUGUUUGGAUAGCACUUCCCAGCCUACAACGCACUUUCUCAGGGAUUCUCAAACUUCCUCCCACCUCACAUCCUUUUAAGGCAAGUGAGUGUGGGAACUCUGGUUCAGGGAAGUUAAAUCACUUGCCUAAGGUCAUGCAGAUCAUUAAUGCCAUAGCCAAGACCUGAGCACGUUCUCCUAAAGCCAGGUCAGGCCUCUUGUCACAUACUCCAUUGACUCUAGUGCCUAACCCAUGCUCAUCACAGAGCUCACAUUGGAACCAUUGUUAAACAGACUCUAAUGGAAAUGACUUCGUUCAGCUGGUGAACAUUUUGGAAGAUUCCAGAAAAACAUGAACAAGUGUUUGAGUGCUCUUAAGGGGAUUGUCUAAUAUCUUGGCUCCUGACUCAUCCUUAGAAGUCUUCCAGCCACCUUGUACCCAUUUCAAGCCCAAGGGCUCUUUAACGUAAAUGAGUUACUGAGCAGGUUAAUGGGACCUGGACUGGAAAAGGAUUGUUUGUGUGGGAAUCAUUCAUGGCAAAGGCAGUGACACCUCCUUCAAAAACCUGUGUCUUUCUGGCAGAGUGUUGCUGGAGAUGGCCACUGGAGAGGCUGAGUCAAAUCAAUCUCCUCACCUGAGGACUUCCUAAGACCAGCGCACUGAAGGACCAGCAGCAACAACAACAAUAAUGCUAAUGCUCCCUUAUGGACAAGACUGCAAUUCUCUGCCUGCUGAAGCUCAGCUAUGACCACGUGACUUGCCUUGGCCAAUGAAAGAGGAAGAGUAUGUAACACUGCUGAAUGGAAGCAAGUGGCCCCUGCCCCUGCUGCAGAGAUUCUAGACAUGUGUGCCAUGCUGGAGCAAGGAGACAGGGAGUCCUGGAGAAAGGAGACAUGGAACAGAGCUCCCAGCCCAGUCAAUAUGUAACAUGAGUGAGAAAUAAAUAACACUUUGUUGCUAGAAGUUUUUUUUAAACUGAAGUAUAACUCAGCUUCCCCUGACCCAUGCAGAAAGUCAUCUAUCAAUGUUAAGUAUCACUAAAUUUAUUUUACAGAAGAAGAAUCUAAAGCUCAGAGUAGUGGUCUCAAUAUCACUCAGCAAUUAUGUGAUGGAAGCAUACUGAAGGCCCACGUUUUAAAGUGGACACCAAGGGGAAUAUAGCAUAAAUAGAAAUUUUCUAACUGCAGGGAAUUCUUGCUAUACAACUGCAAAGAAUAGGCCCCACUACUUCCUAGCUGUGCCUCAAUUUCCUGAUCAGUUAAAUGGGACUAAUAAAAGAGCAGCUAGUGGCUGGGUGCGGUGGCUCACGCCUGUAAUCCCAGCACUUUGGGAGGCCGAGGCGGGCAGAUCAAGAGGUCAGGAGAUCGAGACCACAGUGAAACCCCGUCUCUACUAAAAAUACAAAAAAUUAGCUGUGCGCAGUGGCGGGUGCCUGUAGUCCCAGCUACUCGGGAGGCUGAGGUAGGAGAAUGUCGUUAACUCGGAAGGCGGAGCUUGCAGUGAGCCGAGAUCGCGCCACUGCACUCCAGUCUGGGCGACAGAGGGAGACUCUGUCUCAAAAAAAACGACAACAACAAAAAAAAAAAAAAAAAAAAAAAAGAAAGAGUAGCUAGUGCAAGAGAUGGAGAAGGGAUUAAAUGAAAAUACAUGUAAAUUGCUCAUAAGAUUAUCUAGAAUAAACCGAACAUUCAAAAAUGUUAGUUACUAUUAUUAUUAACAAUUGCUAUUAUAAUCCUAAUAUCACCUGUUUCUCAUCAGUCGGUGGAUACAAGCAAUUACAUUUACAUAAAUAUGUAAAGCAAUAAAGCCAAACCAGAGACUCCUAA
RNAcentral lists this long non-coding RNA (1820 nucleotides) under Homo sapiens (human). Its description in RNAcentral is "long independently transcribed non-coding RNA 3064, transcript variant 4 (LINC03064)". The record is from RNAcentral. Lineage: Eukaryota; Metazoa; Chordata; Mammalia; Primates; Hominidae.